This is a non-coding RNA of Pangasianodon gigas (Mekong giant catfish), 74 nucleotides long. NCBI's taxonomy places the organism in Eukaryota, Metazoa, Chordata, Actinopteri, Siluriformes, Pangasiidae. The record is from the annotation of a GenBank genome assembly.
GGCGUCUGUGGUGUAGUGGUUAGCACACUUGCCUGGCACCUCAAUGGUUGGGGGUUCAAUUCCCACCUCUGCCA